RNAcentral lists this long non-coding RNA (304 nucleotides) under Physcomitrium patens. RNAcentral's name for it is "long non-coding RNA (PPAT_LNC003222)". Lineage: Eukaryota; Viridiplantae; Streptophyta; Bryopsida; Funariales; Funariaceae. The record is from RNAcentral.
UUCAAUACUAUAUAAUCUUUUUCUUUCUUUUCUUUUAAAAUCAUCAACUUUCUUAUACAUAAUAUUUUCAUUCUAAAAAAUACCAAUAAAACUCACAUCAAAGGCACCUUCAUCUCGCGAGAGUACCUCCUCUUUUGUACCUCCAUAAUCUCGCUUUAUAGUGGUACUUCUCCAAAAUCCUUAAAUCCUUCAACAACCCUAUGCAAUGGUUUCUCCUUCAACCUACCUCGAUUCCAUUCAUGAUUAGGAGAUAUUGUUAGAAAUUGUAAAGCUUUCCUUUUAUCUUCACUACGUAUCCUUGUAU